Molecule: ribosomal RNA, 1846 nt
Filed under: human gut metagenome
Description: bacterial LSU rRNA
Rfam family: Bacterial large subunit ribosomal RNA
Source: RNAcentral
UCAAGUUAAUAAGAGCACUAGGCGGAUGCCUAGGCACCAAGAGGCGAAGAAGGACGUGACAAGCUGCGAAAAGCUACGGUAAGGCGCAAGUAACCAAUAACCCGUAGAUCUCCGAAUGGGGCAACCCACCGCAUAAGCGGAAUCCUUACAUGAAUAAAUAGUGUAAGAGAAGCGAACCCAGCGAACUGAAACAUCUAAGUAGCUGGAGGAAAAGAAAGAAACAUCGAUAUCCUAAGUAGCGGCGAGCGAACGGGAUAGAGCCCAACCGUGCAAAAAGCAAAAAUAGUUAGUCGAAGGACCUGGGAAGGUCCACCAAAGAAGGUAACAGUCCCGUAGACGAAAACGACGAUAGCAGGCACAAAAGAGUACCACGAGGCACGAGAAACCUAGUGGGAACACAGGGGGACCACCCCCUAAGGCUAAAUACUACUUGGUGACCGAUAGCGAACAAGUACCGUGAGGGAAAGGUGAAAAGAACCCCGGGAGGGGAGUGAAAUAGAAUCUGAAACCUAGUGUUUACAAGCAGCGAAACUGGUGUUAACCAGGAUCGUGUACUUUUUGUAGAACGGGCCAGCGAGUUAUGAUAAAAAGCAAGGUUAAGAAAUUAAGUUUCGAAGCCGUAGAGAAAUCGAGUCUUAAUAGGGCGUAAGUUAUUUGUCAUAGACCCGAAACCGUGUGAUCUAUCCUUGGGCAGGGUGAAGUUAAAGUAAAAUUUAAUGGAGGCCCGAACCGGGUAGCGUUUAAAAGCUAUCGGAUGACCUGAGGAUAGGGGUGAAAAGCCAAACGAACACGGAGAUAGCUGGUUCUCCUCGAAAUAGCUUUAGGGCUAGCCUUUAGUUAAAGUGACGCGGGGGUAGAGCACUGAAUAGUCAAGGGGCGUUAUACGUUACCGAGACCUAUCAAACUCCGAAUACCGAAUCACAAACUAAGGAGUCAGACUAUGUGGGAUGAGCUUCAUAGUCGAAAGGGAAAGAGCCCAGACCACCAGCUAAGGUCCCAAAAUACUGAUUAAGUGGAAAAGGAUGUGGAGUUACUGAGACAACUAGGAUGUUGGCUUAGAAGCAGCCAUGCAUUAGAGGAGCAAUGUAUGCAGGACGAAGCAGAAGCCGUAAGGUACUGUGGACAACAUACAAGAGAGAAUGCUGGCAUGAGUAGCGAGAGGUGAGUGAGAAUCUCACCCGUCGAAAACCCAAGGAUUCCUGAGGAAGGCUCGUCCACUCAGGGUAAGUCGGGACCUAAGGCGAGGCCGAAAGGCGUAGUCGAUGGACAACAGGUUGAAAUUCCUGUACCGAUAUCAAGCGACAGAAAGUAAGUGGGGACGCAGUAGGAUAAGCGUAGCGCCCAGUUGGUGAGGCGUACAAGCACAAAGUCUGGGAAGUAGGCAAAUCCGCUUUCCAUAAGGAUGAAGUGUGAUGUGGAUCGAAAAUAAGUAGAGAAGGAGCCGACUCCACACUGCCAAGAAAAGCCACUAUCAAGUAAGAUAUCGCCCGUACCGUAAACCGACACAGGUAGGAGAGGAGAGAAUCCUAAGACGCGCGGAAGAACCUUUGUUAAGGAACUCGGCAAAAUGACCCCGUAAGUUAGCGAGAAGGGGAGCCUAACCAGAAAUGGAAGGCCGCAGUGAAAAGGCCCAAGCGACUGUUUACCAAAAACACAAGUCUCUGCAAAGUCGAAAGACGAAGUAUAGGGGCUGACACCUGCCCGGUGCUGGAAGGUUAAGGGAAAGAGUUAGCUUAAGGCGAAGCUCAGAACUGAAGCCCCAGUAAACGGCGGCCGUAACUAUAACGGUCCUAAGGUAGCGAAAUUCCUUGUCGGGUAAGUUCCGACCCGCACGAAAGGUGUAACG